This 468-nucleotide ribosomal RNA is filed under the name uncultured bacterium. RNAcentral describes it as "partial 16S ribosomal RNA". It matches the Rfam family "Bacterial small subunit ribosomal RNA", at positions 28 to 507 of the family's 1533-position model. The record is from RNAcentral.
GACGAACGCUGGCGGCGUGCUUAACACAUGCAAGUCGAACGGAAAGGCCCUGCCUUUGUGGGGUGCUCGAGUGGCGAACGGGUGAGUAACACGUGAGUAACCUGCCCUUGACUUUGGGAUAACUUCAGGAAACUGGGGCUAAUACCGGAUAGGAGCUCCUGCUGCAUGGGGGGGGUUGGAAAGUUUCGGCGGUUGGGGAUGGACUCGCGGCUUGUCAGCUUGUUGGUGGGGUAGUGGCUUACCAAGGCUUUGACGGGUAGCCGGCCUGGGAGGGUGACCGGCCACAUUGGGACUGAGAUACGGCCCAGACUCCUACGGGAGGCAGCAGUGGGGUAUAUUGCACAAUGGGCGGAAGCCUGAUGCAGCAACGCCGCGUGCGGGAUGACGGCCUUCGGGUUGUAAACCGCUUUCGCCUGUGACGAAGCGUGAGUGACGGUAAUGGGUAAAGAAGCACCGGCUAACUACGUG